This is a long non-coding RNA of Haliotis rubra (blacklip abalone), 1163 nucleotides long. RefSeq lists it as uncharacterized. The record is from RefSeq and is a predicted model, not a curated record. NCBI's taxonomy places the organism in Eukaryota, Metazoa, Mollusca, Gastropoda, Lepetellida, Haliotidae. The transcript has 4 exons.
GCAUGGUGGUUGUGCCGCACUUUUCUUUAUGCCGCGACCUUUCCGAGGACCUUUACAGCAACAAAGGGGGAGUUCUUCACAGUGUAUCCAUAUUAUGAGAGAUUGACGCGGGAAUGGAGGAUCUGGUCAAGCUGGAAAAGAGGUGUUUAUGUUGAAAUUGAGAACAAUCCAAACUUGAGUUGUUCGCGUGGAGUCAUCAGAGUAUACGAUUGUGAACCUCGCAACUACUACAGAUACUUAGGAUCUUGGUGUUAUGGAAGGAACAACACGUUCCGUACAGCAUCGUGCAUGGCUCUACGCUUCAACGCUACCAGCCUCCCAAGUGGAAGCAACACGAUCUUCUCUCUGACUUACAGAUAUCCAGACACAUGUUCUCAUGAAACAACAACAAGGUGGCCGUGGAUUCCAGCUUCACAGACAGCAUCCACUUCCAGCCAAACUGGGACUAUUGUAGGUUCGGUCUUCGGUGUUGUGUUGUUGGUUUCGGCCGUAGCAGGUGCUCUCAUUGGGUGGAGAAUCUAUCGUAGAAAGAAAAUGUCUCCUUACCAGAACCCACAGAUCACACGUCAGAGAGAAGCCGGUAGUUCUGCAAUUUCAGUAACAAAGCCAUCCUUCUCCAAUGUUGUUUACGGGCCGGCUAAGUCACCAGGGAAUGACAAGGAAGUAAUAGAAGACCCUGACACACCCGAUACCAAUAAUCAUCCCGUGUUCCAGCAAACUGAGUAAAUAACUCUCUGUCAACAACGUGAUGCCACGCUUCCCAACGGUAACGUCGAAGACAGAUCAGUCACCUACGACAACCAUUGUAACGACGACAAGGAAGUCUCAACUCCUGACAACGUGUGUACCACACCUCAGAGCUACGACAGACCUAAGGGCAACGUCAAGGGAGAAUCAGUGACGUACGGCACCCUUUGUCGCGGUGCAAAGAUGGACUCUGAGAUCUAAGGCGUGACCUUGUGAAUUUCCAGGAGGCUUGGGUUUUUUGCAUGCGACAGGUAUAUUAACUUCAACAAGUCCACAGACCAAACAAUGUUUUAACCCCAAACCAUCUUUUCAGAACAUAAAGCACGUUUGGUAAUUUUUCGUUUACCCAAGUUGGAACGAAACGGACCGGACUGGAGUACGAACAUAUGUUUAUGCCUGCGCUUGAAAUUACAAUA